UACGGAGGGUGCAAGCGUUGUCCGGAUUUAUUGGGUUUAAAGGGUGCGUAGGCGGUCUAUUAAGUCAGUGGUGAAAUACUCCAGCUUAACUGGAGGGGUGCCAUUGAUACUGAUGGACUUGAGUCAAGUCGAGGUAGGCGGAAUUGACGGUGUAGCGGUGAAAUGCUUAGAUAUCGUCAAGAACACCAAUAGUGAAGACAGCUUACUGGGCUUAAACUGACGCUGAGGCACGAAAGUGUGGGGAUCAAACAGG
This 253-nucleotide ribosomal RNA is filed under the name uncultured bacterium. RNAcentral describes it as "partial 16S ribosomal RNA". It matches the Rfam family "Bacterial small subunit ribosomal RNA", at positions 524 to 776 of the family's 1533-position model. The record is from RNAcentral.